Molecule: long non-coding RNA, 1103 nt
Organism: Tympanuchus pallidicinctus (lesser prairie-chicken)
Lineage: Eukaryota; Metazoa; Chordata; Aves; Galliformes; Phasianidae
Exons: 3
Source: RefSeq, a predicted model, not a curated record
GGCCGUGUCCCCUCGGGCAGCGCCGGGCCGUGGGGGUCCGUGGGGUCCGUGGGGUCUGUUGGGUCCGUUCCUUUUGCUUUCACACGGCUGCAAUCACCGAACGGUGCCCGCGCUCCUCAGCAGCACAACGCAGCUUGCAGGAGGAAUCGGCUCUGAGCGCAGCAGAUCAGAGUGGUGGAUCAGCUCACCGCCCCGCACCGGGUGUAUGAUUUCAUCGACCUUCAGCAGUGCCUCGCCUCCAUGGAGACUGCACUCCUCGCUCCUGAGCCUUGCUGUGUUACUUCAAGGUUUGUGCUCCUGGAUCUCAGAGAGGCACAUCUAUACAGGGCAUGUUGCACCGUGGGACACAAGGGAGCUGGGAGAGAGGACUGGAAAGGGAAGAAAUCCAUUGGUGGCCAUGGCCAUUUUGGGAGGAUAUGAGCACAGCCAAGUGGGGCCUGUUGGAGUUGAGGGAAAACCAAUCCAGUGCAGCAGGUUUGUGAGAGCGUGAGUGAGAUCACGGCAGCAUAAGGAAUAUUAAUAGGAUUUGCACAGAUUAGUAAACUAAUCUGUGCAUUUCAGAUUGGAUUCCUCAUUAUGGAGAAGAAAAUUAAUCCACAUACCGUGCAGAAUUGCCAGGCAGUGCAGUGUGAGCAUGAUCUGAGUGCUGGGGAGAUGGCUGUGUAGCCCUGUUGGUGACUGAGCAUUGCACUGUGCCCUCCUGCAGCCAGGCCAGCACUGAGAAUGGCUUGGGUUGGAAGGAACCUCGAAGACCAUCUAUUUCCAACCCCUCAAGUCAAUGGCAUUUACCUUCAGGUCUCUGCCUGGGAGAAUGAAUGCUUUGGAGUGCUUGCGGAGCAGGGUUUGAGGCGUUCCCUAGCACACAGCAUGUGCUGGGUGUUUCAUUUCCCACCACUGCUGGGGUUGGUCUCAUCUCCCUUAUCAGCAGUAACUCCACUGAGCACCAUUUGUCACCACCAGAAGCCAUUUGCUCAUGGUAAACUGAUUUAAGGACAGGCACAGGAUGCUAUAAGGAUCCUGCCUGCUUUCUCUGGGGCCGUGACUAAGAAUAUGCUUGAACUGCUUAAAAAUAGAGUGAGCCUUAGAGGUACUGGUUUGAAGAA